RNAcentral lists this transfer RNA (67 nucleotides) under Explanatum explanatum. Its description in RNAcentral is "tRNA-Arg". Lineage: Eukaryota; Metazoa; Platyhelminthes; Trematoda; Plagiorchiida; Paramphistomidae. The record is from RNAcentral.
UUUGAUAACCUGUAAGUAGGGUUUGCGUUUCGGCCGCAAACAGGGAGUGAUAAAUCUUCUGUCAAAG